GGGAGGAAAUAAUAAACACGGUAUGGGUGUGCUCUUGAAAGCAUCCAAAGGACCUUAGAUUAUUUAGAAAGAGGCUUAAGUGAUGCCCCCCCCCCCCCCCCCAAACUCUUCAAACUCUGAGCAUAGCCCCCUUCCCCUUUAAAAAGCUAAGAGGGUCCCUAGGAGCGUGGCUAGAAACACGCCACGGCGUACCUCACAGCCCAAUAAACAGAUAAAGGGUUCUAUGUUUCGUCAGUAAUGCAUAGUCAUUCAAUUCUGAAAUUCCAAACGAAAUCGUGGGCACGAAGGAAUGCGCACGGUUCGAGAGUAGUACUCCAGUCGUCAAGAGUAAAACAAGUGGCCACUUGAAAGGGUUUGGCAUACACGUGGUCAAUGACUCAACAUACUUCACAUAGACAUGAAACCAUGAGACUGUUAACUGCUGAAGUUCUGCGGGGAGGAGUAAGGCUAAUAAGACUAUGAGAGCGUGACGUUUCCUGCUGAGGGAGAGCGUAGAUUCUGAGGCAAAUUCCCCAGGUGCAACACCAACACAGCUGUGCGGGCGGCUUUUCGACACACAAGAAGCCCAUGGACAAACUCUGACUUUUUAGGUUUUUAUUACUGUUCCCUCAAUACUCGAAUUUGCUAAAGCUUGAUUCCAAAGUUUAGAAAUUUAAACAUUUUCUCAGAGUUGUGGACGUACUAGGGCUGCUGUUGACACGACAAUUAAUACUUUUUUAGUAUCGCGAGUAAAAUUUCAGAUACAUGGGUUUAUACAAAGCUAGUAAUUUUUUAUUGGCGUUCCGCUCCACAAAAUGUAAUAAAACGAGUUGCCACAAAUA
Nematostella vectensis (starlet sea anemone) is the source of this 821-nucleotide long non-coding RNA. RefSeq lists it as uncharacterized. NCBI's taxonomy places the organism in Eukaryota, Metazoa, Cnidaria, Anthozoa, Actiniaria, Edwardsiidae. The record is from RefSeq and is a predicted model, not a curated record. The transcript has 2 exons.